Molecule: ribosomal RNA, 529 nt
Filed under: uncultured bacterium
Lineage: Bacteria
Description: bacterial SSU rRNA
Rfam family: Bacterial small subunit ribosomal RNA
Source: RNAcentral
UUGACAUCCAGAGAAUUUAGCAGAGAUGCUUUAGUGCCUUCGGGAACUCUGAGACAGGUGCUGCAUGGCUGUCGUCAGCUCGUGUUGUGAAAUGUUGGGUUAAGUCCGCAACGAGCGCAAACCCUUAUCCUUUGUUGCCAGCACGUAAUGGUGGGAACUCAAAGGAGACUGCCGGUGAUAAACCGGAGGAAGGUGGGGAUGACGUCAAGUCAUCAUGGCCCUUACGAGUAGGGCUACACACGUGCUACAAUGGCGUAUACAAAGAGAAGCGACCUCGCGAGAGCAAGCGGACCUCAUAAAGUGCGUCGUAGUCCGGAUUGGAGUCUGCAACUCGACUCCAUGAAGUCGGAAUCGCUAGUAAUCGUAAAUCAGAAUGUUACGGUGAAUACGUUCCCGGGCCUUGUACACACCGCCCGUCACACCAUGGGAGUGGGUUGCAAAAGAAGUAGAUAGCUUAACCUUCGGGAGGGCGUUUACCACUUUGUGAUUCAUGACUGGGGUGAAGUCGUAACAAGGUAAGCGUAGUGCU